Daucus carota subsp. sativus is the source of this 391-nucleotide long non-coding RNA. RefSeq lists it as uncharacterized. The transcript has 3 exons. The record is from RefSeq and is a predicted model, not a curated record. NCBI's taxonomy places the organism in Eukaryota, Viridiplantae, Streptophyta, Magnoliopsida, Apiales, Apiaceae.
GAAUAUUGUGUAAUGAUAUAUUACUCUGUUUCAUUAUUUAAGUCAUGACAUUCCUUUUGUAGUCUCCAGAGCUAUUUACAACAUCUCUUAUUCUUGCAAUACCAAAAGCUAUUUAUAAUGCCGGCAUAGAGGCUUCUCAAGUUGAUUUUUAUGAAAUCAAUGAAGCUUUUGCGGUUGUGGCUCUUGCAAACCAGAAGUUGCUUGGCCUAGAUCUACACUUGGUCAUCUUCCGGUGUGAGGCCCUUAGCUGUGCAUUCCCAGCUUCUUUAGCCCAAGUAAUCCUUGCGACAAACACCAACAAUAUGAUCACCCAACCAACCAUCCUAAUGAAUAAUCCUGUGAGCAAUCUGCCAAGUCACAGAUGAACUCUAGAUGCCAUUUUGCACCAUCA